GAAUGCUGACAUAAGUAACGAUAAAGCGGGUGAAAAGCCCGCUCGCCGGAAGACCAAGGGUUCCUGUCCAACGUUAAUCGGGGCAGGGUGAGUCGACCCCUAAGGCGAGGCCGAAAGGCGUAGUCGAUGGGAAACGGGUUAAUAUUCCCGUACUUGGUGUUACUGCGAAGGGGGGACGGAGAAGGCUAUGUUGGCCGGGCGACGGUUGUCCCGGUUUAAGCGUGUAGGUGUGUGUUCCAGGUAAAUCCGGUUCACUUUAACACUGAGGCGUGACGACGAGGCACUACGGUGCUGAAGCAACAAAUGCCCUGCUUCCAGGAAAAGCCUCUAAGCAUCAGGUAACAUCAAAUCGUACCCCAAACCGACACAGGUGGUCAGGUAGAGAAUACCAAGGCGCUUGAGAGAACUCGGGUGAAGGAACUAGGCAAAAUGGUGCCGUAACUUCGGGAGAAGGCACGCUGACACGUAGGUGAAGUGAUUUACUCAUGGAGCU
RNAcentral lists this ribosomal RNA (493 nucleotides) under Salmonella enterica subsp. enterica serovar Typhimurium. RNAcentral's name for it is "partial 23S ribosomal RNA". It matches the Rfam family "Bacterial large subunit ribosomal RNA", at positions 1292 to 1778 of the family's 2925-position model. RNAcentral also lists the same sequence under 1 other name. Lineage: Bacteria; Pseudomonadati; Pseudomonadota; Gammaproteobacteria; Enterobacterales; Enterobacteriaceae. The record is from RNAcentral.